AUGCCAGGGCCAAGAGUUGGGAGAGGCCACUUCACCUCCGACAACCCUCUCAAGGCUAUCCUCGAUGUACCUGGGCUGUGGUCCCAGGUCAGCCAGAACUUGUUAAAAAAGAAAGGAAAACAAAGCUGCAUGAGUUUUAUGUUCCUGCAUCUCCUGUGGUGUUACACAGCAGUGUGUACAGUGUGGUUUUCUUACCCAGGGCUGCAAGGCUUGUCAACACCAGAAACCUCAGCAUGUCUGCACAAUGUCAGAAUGUGUCUGCGAGGAAUCAGACCUUUCCCCCUGCUUUUAUACCUCUCUACAGUGGAAAAUUGAGGCUGUUGUGUCAAGCAUGGGAAACACACCUGUGAUCCGUCUCACAAUGUGUUAUCAGUUGGUCAGCACACACCUCCUACUUUCAAUGUUUAAAAAUGCUGCACAAGGAGCAAAACAAUUAUAACAUAUUUGAUAAAAUCUGUCACAGUUUUCCUUGCUUUGUAUUUGUGGAUGAAAACAUCUUCUUUUCUGGUAAUUUAGGUGGAUAUGUUGAAGAAAGCCUGGGUAAGAUGUACAGGUAGUUUCUUUUCAUACAAAUACUGUGAAUUUUUUCUUUGAGUAAACAUGUUUUUUUUUCCUUGCCAAAAUUCUCCACCUUUAAGUCUUGAGAGAUUUUUGCUUGUUGUGUCUCUCUAACAAAUGGAAAUAAAUACAUACCAAAGAAGUGGCUACCAAUUGAUACAACCAGUCCACUGGAGAUAAGGCACAGAUCCAGUUUAAACCAGUAGCAUGUGGACUGGUUGCUCUCGCAGAAGGACACGUGUGUGUGAUGUGUGUGUUAAGGAAUACAGUCAAUAAACCAGUCUAAAUCAACACAGUUUAAAGAAAAGGUGCACUGCCUGAAGUCUCAAGUUCAAUGAGGGUAAAUUAAUAGUGCCUUAAAAUGGAUCUUUUGAUUUCGUCGCUGUUUAUGAUGAUUGGUUUUAAUUAAA
Molecule: long non-coding RNA, 968 nt
Filed under: Takifugu rubripes (torafugu)
Lineage: Eukaryota; Metazoa; Chordata; Actinopteri; Tetraodontiformes; Tetraodontidae
Description: lncRNA (ENSTRUG00000029157.1)
Source: RNAcentral